This 213-nucleotide ribosomal RNA is filed under the name uncultured bacterium. RNAcentral's name for it is "partial 16S ribosomal RNA". It matches the Rfam family "Bacterial small subunit ribosomal RNA", at positions 118 to 311 of the family's 1533-position model. The record is from RNAcentral.
UGAGGAACAUGACCUUCGGCGGGGGAUAGCCGGCCCAACGGCCGGGUAAUACCGCGUACGACCACAUGGGGACAUCCCUGAGUGGUGAAAGCAGCAAUGCGCCGAUGGAGUGCCUCGCGGCCUAUCAGCUAGUUGGUGAGGUAACGGCUCACCAAGGCAACGACGGGUANCUGGUCUGAGAGGAUGGCCAGCCACGUGUGNUGACACGCCGAC